This 466-nucleotide ribosomal RNA is filed under the name Vreelandella stevensii. Its description in RNAcentral is "partial 16S ribosomal RNA". It matches the Rfam family "Bacterial small subunit ribosomal RNA", at positions 338 to 795 of the family's 1533-position model. Lineage: Bacteria; Pseudomonadati; Pseudomonadota; Gammaproteobacteria; Oceanospirillales; Halomonadaceae. The record is from RNAcentral.
CCUACGGGUGGCUGCAGUGGGGAAUAUUGGACAAUGGGGGGAACCCUGAUCCAGCCAUGCCGCGUGUGUGAAGAAGGCCCUCGGGUUGUAAAGCACUUUCAGUGAGGAAGAACGCCUGGUGGUUAAUACCCAUCAGGAAAGACAUCACUCACAGAAGAAGCACCGGCAUAACUCCGUGCCAGCAGCCGCGGUAAUACGGAGGGUGCGAGCGUUAAUCGGAAUUACUGGGCGUAAAGCGCGCGUAGGUGGCUUGAUAAGCCGGUUGUGAAAGCCCCGGGCUCAACCUGGGAACGGCAUCCGGAACUGUCAAGGUAGAGUGCAGGAGAGGAAGGUAGAAUUCCCGGUGUAGCGGUGAAAUGCGUAGAGAUCGGGAGGAAUACCAGUGGCGAAGGCGGCCUUCUGGACUGACACUGACACUGAGGUGCGAAAGCGUGGGUAGCAAACAGGAUUAGAUACCCUAGUAGUC